GAAAGUAAUGAAGGGCGUACGGUGGAUGCCUAGGCUCUUACAGGCGAUGAAGGACGUGAUAAGCUGCGAAAAGCCGCGGUGAGGCGCAAAUGGCCCUUGACCCGCGGAUCUCCGAAUGGGACAACCCAAUAUCUUGAAGAGAUAUUAUCCCGCCGGUGCGGGAGGCGAACGCGGGGAACUGAAACAUCUUAGUACCCGCAGGAAAAGAAAAUAAAGAAUGAUUCCCCCAGUAGUGGCGAGCGACCGGGGAAGAGCCCAAACCGACGUUGUCUCGGCAUCGUCGGGGUUGUAGGACCGCGCCAUCGCAAGAAAGGCCGUGAGUGGAAGCGACUGGAAAGCCGCGCCAUAGAGGGUGACAGCCCCUUACACGAAGCAGCCCGAAGCGUAGCGGACUCCUGAGUAGCGCGGGACACGAGUAAUCCUGUGUGAAUCCGCCGGGCCCAUCCGGCAAGGCUAAAUACUCGUAAGAGACCGAUAGUGAACCAGUACCGUGAGGGAAAGGUGAAAAGUACCCCUUGCAGGGGAGUGAAAGAGUUCCUGAAACCGUACGCCUACAAGCGGUCGGAGCAUCUUGAAUGAUGUGACGGCGUGCCUUUUGCAUAAUGAACCUACGAGUUGCCGUCACCAGCGAGGUUAAGUGCGACGACGCACCGAGCCGCAGCGGAAGCGAGUCUUAAAAUGGCGCGAUAGUUGGUGGAGGCAGACGCGAAACCAAGUGAUCUACACUUGGCCAGGAUGAAGUCCCGGUAACACGGGAUGGAGGUCCGCACCAAUAAGCGUUGAAAAGCUUCUGGAUGAGGUGAGUGUAGGAGUGAAAGGCCAAUCAAACUCGGAGAUAGCUCGUACUCCCCGAAAGGCAUUUAGGUGCCGCCUGUGGCGUUCCCGACGUGAGGUAGAGCGACUGAUAGGAUGCGAGGGCUUCACCGCCUAUCAAGUCCUGACAAACUCCGAAUGCACGUCGGCCAAGCCAUGGAGUAAGGGCAUGGGUGCUAAGGUCCGUGCCCGAGAGGAGAAGAAUCCAGACCACCGGCUAAGGUCCCGAAAUACUGGUUAAGUUAGACUAACGCAGUCCGGCCCCCAAGACAGCUAGGAUGUUGGCUUGGAAGCAGCCAUUCAUUCAAAGAGUGCGUAACAGCUCACUAGUCGAGGAGCUGGGCGUGGAUAAUAAUCGGGUAUGAAACCAGUUACCGAAGCCGUGGGAUGCUUAAGCAUCGGUAGGGGAGCAUUGCAUGCGGCUUAGAAGGCGGGGCGCGAGCCCCUCUGGAGCGCAUGGAAACGCAAAUGUAGGUAUAAGUAACGACAAGGGGGGUGGGAUGCCCCCCCGCCGAAAGACCAAGGUUUCCUGAACAACGCUAAUCGGUUCAGGGUCAGUCGGGUCCUAAGCAUAAGCCGUAUGGCGAGGGCGAUGGACGAAACGGUUAAUAUUCCGUUACUGUCUUGGUGUGUGACGCGGCGACGGAGUAGUGACACGGCCGCCUCCUGACGGAAAAGGGGGUUGAAGCGCAAAGGUGUCGAGGAAGGCAGGCAAAUCCACCUUCCGAGCCGAAGCGCGAAAGUACGCCGGGCCCUUUGGGGCAAGGCGAUAGUGCCGGUAAUCAGACUUCCAAGAAAACCCGCUAAACUUCAGCACCAAGUCACCCGUACUCUAAACGGACACACGUGGUCGGGUAGAAUAUACUAAGGCGCUUGGGAGAUUCACGGUUAAGGAACUAGGCAAAUUGACCCCGUACCUUCGGAAUAAGGGGUCCUCGCUUUUGCGAGGCGCAGAGAAUAGGUCCAGGCAACUGUUUAACAAAAACACAGGGCUGUGCAAAUUUGAAAGAAGAAGUAUACAGCCUGACACCUGCCCGGUGCCGGAAGGUUAAGAGGAGAGCUCAUCAGCGAUGAGAAGGCUUGAAUUGAAGCCCCAGUAAACGGCGGCCGUAACUAUAACGGUCCUAAGGUAGCGAAAUUCCUUGUCGGGUAAGUUC
RNAcentral lists this ribosomal RNA (1970 nucleotides) under human gut metagenome. Its description in RNAcentral is "bacterial LSU rRNA". It matches the Rfam family "Bacterial large subunit ribosomal RNA", at positions 1 to 1983 of the family's 2925-position model. The record is from RNAcentral.